Molecule: long non-coding RNA, 1376 nt
Organism: Lolium perenne
Lineage: Eukaryota; Viridiplantae; Streptophyta; Magnoliopsida; Poales; Poaceae
Source: RefSeq, a predicted model, not a curated record
AUGAUGCCCCCUAUAGGGGGCCUCACAGAGAUUAGCUGCUCGUAGCCGUUGGAUCUUCCCGUCUGGCAAUCUUGUCCGUCCAUUUUUCACUGGUGGAGUAGUCCAGGACGCGAGGCCCUCGCGCGACCCGCUUUUUAUCCACGGGUCGAUGAAGCCCAUCCGGCCCGGUGUUGGCGCGUCGUCCUCUCUGCUCGCGCCCCUCGCUCGCUAAAUCCCGCCGCCACCCGAGCUCCGCCUCCUCCUCUGCCCCAUCGCCGCCGCACCCCGCCUCCUCCUCUGCCCCAGCGCACCGACGGAGAGGCAGCAGCGGUGACGACCGCCGCGUCCCUCCAUACCGGGACCCUCCUUCCCGGCGUCCUCCACAAGCUCGGUCCUGGGUUCGAGCUUCACCUCGAACAGAGGAGUGGAAGCAGAUGGGGAGAAGGGGAAAACAGAGAGGAGCCCACCACGAAAACGAGGAGGGGCUCGGGAAGGACGGAGAGGUAGCAGCCGCGACGAAUUCGUCAGCGAUGUGCGACGGCUAGAGGAGGAAGACGAGGUCUGUGUCCACGAUUUGGAUCCCUUCGCGCCGCCGGCCGGCAGGAGCAACGCACUGUCGCCGUACGCCAUGCCGCCUGUGAGAGAAGGGGCUGGUGGAGCUCCACCUAUUAUUCACGUUCCCGCUGACUCGAGCCGGCCUUAUGAGCUUCCGCGCCAGUCUGCUGCUCAGCCUCUUCAUCCUCCGCUGCAUUCAAUGGAGGAGCACAUGUUGAUGAGCCAGGAUCGUUGUGGGGCUCUGCUUUUGCUCGAGAAGAUUGUUGACCUGAAGAUGUACAUUCCUCUUAGUGUUGAAGUUUGUGACAUGUUAGCUGCAGUAGUCUUUUGCUAACAAUGGAAGGAUCUUACUACUUCCAAUGGCAACCAAAUUUUUUGCAGCUUACAGAAAUUAUUAAUAGGGGAUGAAUGGUUAAUAAAUGAAAGUUUCAAUAUUUUCUUAAUGGCUCUGUGUCGGCUCCGUACCAUCAUAUCAGCCCGAGCUCCAUCCUACCACCUUCGAGCUCACUAUCGGUUUGCAGUUAAGUGUCUUCUUAUCUCAGCCCAAUUAACAUAAGCUUUUAAACAUUGUUGACCUAGACAGAAGAAGGAAGCGUUACUUUUGGUAGUAGAGCAGCACUCGCGCCGCCUCCGCGUGCCGUGCCGUCGCCGGGAGAAGACGCUUGUGGAGCUCCUCGUUCUGCACGUCUUUGAUGUGCCACUGGAGGCCGGCGGCAUCAGCGCAGCCUGCCGCUCGGGCCAGCACUACGUAACGUGCCGCCGUCGAGAGGAGCGUCCGGUAGGGCUCCGCAUGUGCUAGACUUUUGGCCUCCUCUUCCUCUUCAUGGUCACUGGACCACUAG